UGUUUCACUCAAUCCGUAUGCAUUAAAUAAAAUUUUACAUCAAAUUUUAUUUUGGGUCUUUUGUUUUACUGGUUGCCAGUGUUGGAUUUUGUGUUGGUAUCUUGGAGUCCAGCGUCUUUUGCGGAUUUUGCAAACACGCGUCCUUUUUCGACUUUGAACCAUCUUGGUGAAAGCAAGGGAAGCCUUCUGAUCUCUGCCGAAAAUAAAAGAAAUUCUAGUGAAAUUUUGGCUGGUCGCCGUUCCAUAUUGGGAUUGUUCAGUAGAAUUACGGUCUUGGAAUUCAUUGAGGGUCGAGAAGACCGAUUGGCAAGAAAUUGAGCUUGGCCUGUGUGUAGUUGGAAUUCCGGGGGAAACCUUGAAAAAGGGAUAUCUUUGUUGGUUGGAGGACAGGAGUUGUAGAUGGGUGCGUGGACGUACUGGGAUGAGUACGAGGACAGUUAAGGAACCCUUUUCCAUGGAGUAACAUGCGUUGAGACGCCAUCUUGUCUUGGAAGGUCCGCAUGGUGGAAAGGUAUUUUACUAUGUCCAAACUAGAACGUGUCACUAAAA
RNAcentral lists this long non-coding RNA (549 nucleotides) under Sitophilus oryzae (rice weevil). Its description in RNAcentral is "uncharacterized LOC115874165". The record is from RNAcentral. Lineage: Eukaryota; Metazoa; Arthropoda; Insecta; Coleoptera; Curculionidae.